GGGGUAACGGCCUACCAAGGCGACGAUCAGUAGCCGGUCUGAGAGGAUGAACGGCCACAUUGGAACUGAGACACGGUCCAGACUCCUACGGGAGGCAGCAGUGGGGAAUCUUCCGCAAUGGGCGCAAGCCUGACGGAGCAACGCCGCGUGAGUGAAGAAGGGUUUCGACUCGUAAAGCUCUGUUGUCGGGGACGAACGUGGAGACGGCAAAUAGUCGUUUCCAAUGACGGUACCUGACGAGGAAGCCACGGCUAACUACGUGCCAGCAGCCGCGGUAAUACGUAGGUGGCGAGCGUUGUCCGGAAUUAUUGGGCGUAAAGGGAGCGCAGGCGGGAAGGUAAGUCUAUCUUAAAAGUGCGGGGCUCAACCCCGUGAGGGGAUGGAAACUAUCUUUCUUGAGUGCAGGAGAGGAAAGCGGAAUUCCUAGUGUAGCGGUGAAAUGCGUAGAUAUUAGGAGGAACACCAGUGGCGAAGGCGGCUUUCUGGACUGUAACUGACGCUGAGGCUCGAAAGCGUGGGGAGCGAACAGGAUUAGAUACCCUGGCAGUCCACGCCGUAAACGAUGAAUGCUAGGUGUAGGAGGUAUCGACCCCUCCUGUGCCGGAGUUAACGCAAUAAGCAUUCCGCCUGGGGAGUACGGCCGCAAGGCUGAAACUCAAAGGAAUUGACGGGGGCCCGCACAAGCGGUGGAGUAUGUGGUUUAAUUCGACGCAACGCGAAGAACCUUACCAGGGCUUGACAUUGAGUGAAAGGACAAGAGAUUGUCCCCUCUCUUCGGAGACACGAAAACAGGUGGUGCAUGGCUGUCGUCAGCUCGUGUCGUGAGAUGUUGGGUUAAGUCCCGCAACGAGCGCAACCCUUAUCCUUUGUUGCCAGCACGUUAUGUGGGAACUCAAAGGAGACUGCCGCGGACAACGCGGAGGAAGGCGGGGAUGACGUCAAGUCAUCAUGCCCCUUAUGUCCUGGGCUACACACGUACUACAAUGGGAUGGACAGAGAGCAGCGAAGCCGCGAGGCCAAGCGAACCCCAUAAACCAUCUCCCAGUUCGGAUUGCAGGCUGCAACCCGCCUGCAUGAAGUUGGAAUCGCUAGUAAUCGCAGGUCAGCAUACUGCGGUGAAUACGUUCCCGGGCCUUGUACACACCGCCCGUCACACCACGGAAGUCAUUCACACCCGAAGCCGGCAGGCUAACCUUUUGGAGGCAGCCGUCUAAGGUGGGGGCGAUGACUGGGGUGAAGUCGUAACAAGGUA
RNAcentral lists this ribosomal RNA (1252 nucleotides) under metagenome. Its description in RNAcentral is "bacterial SSU rRNA". It matches the Rfam family "Bacterial small subunit ribosomal RNA", at positions 254 to 1498 of the family's 1533-position model. The record is from RNAcentral.